This 429-nucleotide ribosomal RNA is filed under the name Acidobacteriota bacterium. RNAcentral's name for it is "Acidobacteria bacterium partial 16S ribosomal RNA". It matches the Rfam family "Bacterial small subunit ribosomal RNA", at positions 355 to 776 of the family's 1533-position model. Lineage: Bacteria; Pseudomonadati; Acidobacteriota. The record is from RNAcentral.
UGGGGAAUUUUGGACAAUGGGGGAAACCCUGAUCCAGCCAUCCCGCGUGUGCGAUGAAGGCCUUCGGGUUGUAAAGCACUUUUGGCAGGAAAGAAACGUCAUGGGUUAAUACCCCGUGAAACUGACGGUACCUGCAGAAUAAGCACCGGCUAACUACGUGCCAGCAGCCGCGGUAAUACGUAGGGUGCAAGAGUUAAUCGGAAUUACUGGGCGUAAAGCGUGCGCAGGCGGUUCGGAAAGAAAGAUGUGAAAUCCCAGAGCGCAACUUUGGAACUGCAUUUUUAACUACCGAGAUAGAGUGUGUCAGAGGGAGGUGGAAUUCCGCGUGUAGCAGUGAAAUGCGUAGAUAUGCGGAGGAACACCGAUGGCGAAGGCAGCCUCCUGGGAUAACACUGACGCUCAUGCACGAAAGAGUGGGGAGCAAACAGG